GGGCAAAUAGUGUAGUUGGUUAUCGCGCCCGCUUCGCAAUACUGAUUAUGUAAUCUGUCUGCGGGAGGUGCUGGGUUCAAUUCCCAGUUUGUCCA
Molecule: non-coding RNA, 95 nt
Organism: Mycena filopes
Lineage: Eukaryota; Fungi; Basidiomycota; Agaricomycetes; Agaricales; Mycenaceae
Source: the annotation of a GenBank genome assembly